GUCUACGGCCAUGCCAUCCUGAACAAGCCCAAUCCCGUCUGAUCUCAGAAGCUAAGCAGGGUCAGGCCUGGUUAAUACUUGGAUGGGAGGCCACCUAGGAAGACCAGAUGCUAUAGGUG
RNAcentral lists this ribosomal RNA (119 nucleotides) under Pteropus alecto (black flying fox). Lineage: Eukaryota; Metazoa; Chordata; Mammalia; Chiroptera; Pteropodidae. The record is from RNAcentral.